Molecule: ribosomal RNA, 253 nt
Filed under: uncultured bacterium
Lineage: Bacteria
Description: partial 16S ribosomal RNA
Rfam family: Bacterial small subunit ribosomal RNA
Source: RNAcentral
UACGUAGGGGGCAAGCGUUGCCCGGAAUCAUUGGGCGUAAAGCGCGCGUAGGCGGCCCGGUAAGUCCGUUGUGAAAGUCAAAGGCUCAACCUUUGAACGCCGAUGGAUACUGCCGGGCUAGAGUCCGGAAGAGGCGAGUGGAAUUCCUGGUGUAGCGGUGGAAUGCGCAGAUAUCAGGAGGAACACCGGUGGCGAAGGCGGGUCUCAGGGCCGAUACUGACGCUGAGGAGCGAAAGCGUGGGGAGCGAACAGG